CUCCAUGAAGUUGGAUUCGCUAGUAAUCGCGCAUCAGCCAUGGCGCGGUGAAUACGUUCCCGGGCCUUGUACACACCGCCCGUCAAGCCAUGGGAGCCGGGGUGCCUGAAGUUCGUUACCGCAAGGAUCGACCUAGGGCAAAACUGGUGACUGGGGCUAAGUCGUAACAAGGUAGC
RNAcentral lists this ribosomal RNA (176 nucleotides) under uncultured bacterium. Its description in RNAcentral is "partial 16S ribosomal RNA". It matches the Rfam family "Bacterial small subunit ribosomal RNA", at positions 1316 to 1500 of the family's 1533-position model. The record is from RNAcentral.